Electrophorus electricus (electric eel) is the source of this 293-nucleotide non-coding RNA. NCBI's taxonomy places the organism in Eukaryota, Metazoa, Chordata, Actinopteri, Gymnotiformes, Gymnotidae. The record is from RefSeq and is a predicted model, not a curated record.
AACUCAGUGAGUUCUGAUAACUGUUCAAAGACUUUGGAGAAAGCACAGUCAGGCCAACUCAGUGACACACGGCGAGGUUUCAGUCUUUGGGCUUUAUUUACCUGAGCGUGUGCAGCCAGUUUGAAAACGAGUUCACUCUCCACCUCGAUGUCGCCCUGGACGAACGCAAGCAGGGAGGGGAGACAUAGAAAGUUCACUUAUGGCCAGGUUAAAGUGAGAUGAGACCAAAUCCAGGAGCUCCCGGGACAACAGCCUGGGCUAUGCAGGAACAGGGAGGAAGACGAGAGAUCGGA